UGGCGGACGGGUGAGUAACGCGUGGAAAACCUGCCGUAUACUGGGGGAUAACACUUAGAAAUAGGUGCUAAUACCGCAUAAGCGCACAGCUUCGCAUGAAGCGGUGUGAAAAACUCUGGUGGUAUACGAUGGUUCCGCGUCUGAUUAGCUAGUUGGUGGGGUAAUGGCCUACCAAGGCAACGAUCAGUAGCCGGCCUGAGAGGGUGAACGGCCACAUUGGGACUGAGACGCGGCCCAAACUCCUACGGGAGGCAGCAG
Molecule: ribosomal RNA, 258 nt
Filed under: uncultured bacterium
Lineage: Bacteria
Description: partial 16S ribosomal RNA
Rfam family: Bacterial small subunit ribosomal RNA
Source: RNAcentral